Molecule: ribosomal RNA, 328 nt
Filed under: uncultured bacterium
Lineage: Bacteria
Description: bacterial SSU rRNA
Rfam family: Bacterial small subunit ribosomal RNA
Source: RNAcentral
GUGUCAGCAGCCGCGGUAAUACGUAGGUGGCAAGCGUUGUCCGGAUUUAUUGGGCGUAAAGCGCGCGCAGGUGGUUUCUUAAGUCUGAUGUGAAAUCCCACGGCUUAACUGUGGAGCGGCAUUGGAAACUGGGAGACUUGAGUGCAGAAGAGGAAAGUAGAAUUCCAAGUGUAGCGGUGAAAUGCGUAGAGAUUUGGAAGAAUACCAGUGGAGAAGGCGGCUUUCUGGUCUGAAACUGACGCUGAGGCGUGAAAGCGUGGGGAGCAAACAGGAUUAGAUACCCUGGUAGUCCAUGCCGUAAACGAUGAGUGCUAAGUGUUAGGGGUUU